Mya arenaria is the source of this 6710-nucleotide long non-coding RNA. RefSeq lists it as uncharacterized. The transcript is spliced from 3 exons. Lineage: Eukaryota; Metazoa; Mollusca; Bivalvia; Myida; Myidae. The record is from RefSeq and is a predicted model, not a curated record.
GUGUACUGUAGCCUUUUACAGUUAUGCCCCUUAGGAAUUUGAAAAACAGUCUGGAAAAAAGGGGUCGGCCCAGUUGUCUAUCCUUAAUUAUGAUCGGACCUGCUUCGAGGCCAUCAUAAUUAUUAAUGUCGUUCAUCUUUGUUGUUGAAUUUUUUUUUUUACUUUUAUGUUAUAAAAGGAAUGGCAAUAUUACUAUAUUAUAGUAUAUUCUAUACUUUCUUUAGAGUCUAUCAUGAAUUAUUUUAAUGCAACGUUUAUAAAUACGUUGAAACUGUUGUCUAUCACAGAUUAUUUAGCUUGACGAAUAGGGCUAUUGAGCACACAGAUUAUAGGCUUAAAAGUAUCACGAUUAUGAAACUGUUGUCCGCAUCUCUAUAAUAUGUACCUUUACGAAUUUAUUAGUGUCUAUCAAAGAAAUAUUUUAAUUGAUAUUUAUGUAUGUCAUACAAAAAUAACCCUUUCAUAUACCAUUUCUUUUAUAGACAUUUGAAGGUACAUAUUAACAAAAUCAAUUGAUAUAUUUUAUUUUUUGCAUCAAAUAUGUUCUUUGAUAAUAUAAAGAAAAGUACUUUGAUCAAACAAGUGUAAGUGAGAAAGAAAUAGAAUUGGCUUCAAUUGCCAAUCAAUAUUUUUUGCUCACAGUCUGCAGUCUAUCACAGAUCAAUGAGCAAUUGCAAUGACCAACAGUUAACACAAACGGUUCCGUGGGAGGGGGGUAUGGCACACCCGGCACAUGCCCCAUCACUUAAGUCGCAUUCUAUUUCAAAGGAGUGGAAAUUAAUAAACUACACCUUUCAAAUGCCAUCAUGUGCAGGCGACAUGAACUCAUAAAAACAACAAAUUCAAACAGCGCAACUUCCUUUAAUUAUGUCCUCUUAAUGUUUCUUCACCCGUAAAUAAACAACAGUUUCCUCGUCUUCCAACAAUAUCAUAUACUGGUGAAAAUGUAUCCAUCAUCCGUGUGAUAUUUGUUGAAAAAAAGAAAAGCAUACAUGCCAUAAAACUUAGAAAAAAGUUAUUAUCUCCAGUCUUGUAGCAGAACGCAAUCCUUGAAUAUGUGCAAGAUAUGCCAUGAAGUCAAUAUCACCACUACUUGAAGGCCACUGAUGUGUUAUAUUCACUUGUAUGUCUUUCUGAUUUCUUCACAAAUUGCUUACGUCUAGCGGACCCUUGGGGGAAGGGGUACGCCCCUUAGGUAUGUCCUCUCUUAGGGAGCGGAGUACGCCCCUUAGGUAUGCCCUCUCUUGGGGAGCGGAGUAAGCCCCUUAGGUGUGGCCUCUCUAACGUCUAAUCCUGAAUCCUCCCCUGCUUUUAAGAUAAACUUUCAUAACCAGUAUCACUUAUUACCUUAUUAUUAUAAUAAAAUUCAUUAAACUUAUCUUGAAGCCAUGUGAUGGCAGAUAAACAAUGGUUAAAAGUUAAUUGAACAGUAAUGUUCAUUUCUAUUUCUUUAUUGAUAAGAUUAAUCCCAGUAUAAAAGAUUCAUUUUAUAUUAGAAAAUAAAUAAAAUAUAUAUGUUUAGGAAAUACAAUUAAGAAAACCAUGUUUUAUGAUAGACAAUAUUUUUUAAUGUAAAUGAUACAUAAGAAAAAAUAUUCUUAUUGUCUAUCAUGAAAUAUAUUUCUUAUUGUCUAUCAUGAAAAAUAUUUCUUACUGUCUAUCAUGAAUUAUUUUUUUAUUGUCUAUCAUGAAAUAUUUAUCUGUCUAUCAUAAAUUUUAAUACAUAUAUUUAAUUUAAAAUAUUUCUUAUUGUCUAUCAUGAAAUUUUUUCUUACUGUCUAUCAUGAAUUAUUUUCAUUAUUAUCUAUCAUGAAAUAUUUUUCUUACUGUCUCACUGUGUGGGAACGGACACCGGAUAUAGCUCAAAAAGUGAUAAGUAAACAGACGGUUCCUAAAGUGGCCAACCAUCCAGCCGGAAGAGAUGCCUUUUGCGGUGGAGUUGGCGAAGAGGCGUAAUGCGACUACAGUUGCAGUCAGGUUUGCGUAAGCUCAAGUGGACAACUUCGUCAACAAAGAUAUGUAUUAUUUUGCUCACUUUUUGUAUAAUUUUUUGUUCGCACUUUUUGGCUCAGCAUUGUUUUCUUUUUAAAUAAUUCAUCUUGAAAGAAUGUUUUCACUAUGUAGGUCACUUUAUAUUUCAUAGCCUUAUAGUGCAUUAAUUAAAAUAUUUGGAUUACAUUUUUAAAGGUUCUUAUUAAAUCAAUAAUUUGAUUAAACAUAUCCAUGAUUCUUCGAAUUAAUGAUUCUUUCUUUCCAAAUACACGAAAAUUGAAAAGGCAUUUUCUGUUGGUUUUAGAAAUUUUACAGUGAAAAUGCUAAAAGGUGCCAGCAUCCUUUCCCAAGAUUUCUUUAACCGAACCCAAGUAACUGAAAAUGUGUAUUUCAUUUUUUUUGUAUGUCAACAUAUAUAAUUUUAAAUAAAAUGUUUUAUAUGAGGGAGGCUUCAUUUUUAUGAUUCUGAAUGUGGGUUAUAAUAAAUUUCUAGGAAAGGCUCAUGAAAUAAGAGUGCAAAACAAUAUAAAACCUUAAUUCAUAUUAAUAUAUUUGUUAAUUUAUGAACGUAAUUGAAUUGAUUUCAAAUGAAUUUUGUUUAUUACGACUUUAAUUCACAUGAUUAACAAUCGUUUUUUUAAUUAUGAUACUUGCUUAUUUUAUUUAUAAACUGCUUAUUGAAAUAAGUUACUUCAUCGGGUUUUCAUAUACACAUCAAUGUUACAGCGUCCACGGUUCCUGAAGUGGCCAACCAUCCAGCCGGAAGAGAUGCCUUUUGCGGUGGAGUUGGCGAAGAGGCGUAGUGUGACUACAGUUGCAGUCAGGUUUGCAUAAGCUUAAGUGGACAACUUCGUCAACAAAGAUAUGUAUUAUUUUGCUCACUUUUUGUAUAAGGGUUUGUUCGCACUAUUUGGCUCAGCACUGCUUUCGUUAAAAACAAACAAUCUUGAAAGAAUCUUUUCACUAUGUAGGUCACUUUAUAUUUCAUAGCCUUAUAGUGCAUUAAUUAAAAUAUUUGGAUUACACUUUAAAAGGUUGUUAUUAUAUCAUUCAUUUGAUUAAACAUAUCAAUGAUUCUUCGAAUUAAUGAUUCUCUAUUUCCAAAUACACGAAAAUUGAAAAGGCAUUUUCUGCUGGUUUUAGAAAUCUUACAGUGAAAAUGCUAAAAGGUGCCAGCAUCCUUUCCCAAGAUUUCUUUAACCGAACCCAAGUAGCGGAAAAUGUGUAUUUUAUUUUCUUGUAUGUCAACAUAUAUAUUUUGCAAAUAAAAUGUUUUAUAUUGGAGGGGUCUCAUUUUUAUAAGUCUAAACGUGGGUUAUUAUAAAUUUCUAGGAAAGGGUCAUGAAAUGUGAGUGCAAAACAAUAUAAAACCUUAAUUCAUAUUAAUAUUCUUGUUUAUUUAUGUACGUAAUUUAAUUGAUUUCAAAUGAAUUUUGUUUAUUACCACUUAAAUUCACAUGUUUAACAAUCGUUUUCUAAUUAUGAUACUUGCUUAUUUUAUAUAAAAAACUGCUUAUUAAAAUAAGUUACUUCAUCGGGUUUUCUUAUAAACAUCAAUGUUACAGCGUCCACGGUUCCUGAAGUGGCCAACCAUCCAGCCGGAAGAGAUGCCUUUUGCGGUGGAGUUGGCGAAGUGGCGUUAUGCAACUACAGUUGCAGUAAGAUCUGCGUAAGCUUAAGUGGACAACUUCGUCAACAAAGAUAUGUAUUAUUUUGCUCAUUUUUUUGUAUAAGUUUUUUUGCACUAAUUGGCUCAGCAUUGUUUGUUUUUUUAAACAAUUUAUAUUGAAAGAUGUUUUCACUAUGAAGGUCACUUUAUAUUUCAUAGCCUUAUAGUGCAUUAAUUAAAAUAUUUGGAUUACACUUUAAAAGGUUGUUAUUAUAUCAUUCAUUUGAUUAAACAUAUCAAUGAUUCUUCGAAUUAAUGAUUCUCUAUUUCCAAAUACACGAAAAUUGAAAAGGCAUUUUCUGUUGGUUUUAGAAAUCUUACAGUGAAAAUGCUAAAAGGUGCCAGCAUCCUUUCCCAAGAUUUCUUUAACCGAACCCAAGUAGCGGAAAAUGUGUAUUUUAUUUUCUUGUAUGUCAACAUAUAUAUUUUGCAAAUAAAAUGUUUUAUAUUGGAGGGGUCUCAUUUUUAUAAGUCUAAACGUGGGUUAUUAUAAAUUUCUAGGAAAGGGUCAUGAAAUGUGAGUGCAAAACAAUAUAAAACCUUAAUUCAUAUUAAUAUUCUUGUUUAUUUAUGUACGUAAUUGAAUUGAUUUCAAAUGAAUUUUGUUUAUUACCACUUAAAUUCACAUGUUUAACAAUCGUUUUCUAAUUAUGAUACUUGCUUAUUUUAUAUAAAAAAACUGCUUAUUAAAAUAAGUUACUUCAUCGGGUUUUCUUAUAAACAUCAAUGUUACAGCGUCCACGGUUCCUGAAGUGGCCAACCAUCCAGCCGGAAGAGAUGCCUUUUGCGGUGGAGUUGGCGAAGUGGCGUUAUGCGACUACAGUUGCAGUAAGAUCUGCGUAAGCUUAAGUGGACAACUUCGUCAACAAAGAUAUGUAUUAUUUUGCUCACUUUUUUAUAAGUUUUUGUUUUUACUAUUUGACUCAGCAUUGUUUUCUUUUUAAACAAUUCAUCUUGAAAGAAUGUUUUCACUAUGUAGGUCACUUUAUAUUUCAUAGCCUUAUAGUGCAUUAAUUAAAAUAUUUGGAUUACAUUUUUAAAGGUUCUUAUUUAAUCAAUAAUUUGAUUAAACAUAUCAAUGAUUCUUCAGAAAAUGCUUAUUUCAUUUUCUUGUGUUCAUAUAUAUUUAUUUAAUAUUGUUUAUUGGAGGGGCUUAGUCUGUAUUAUAUGUUGUUUAUUAUAGACUGGUAUGAAAUGCUUAUGAAGUGCAAGUUAAAAGCAAUUCAAAAAAAGAUUAAGAUAAUAUGAAUUAAUUUGUUAAUUGAGAUUAUAAAAUGUUUUUAAUUGAAUUUGAAUGAUAUUUGUGUUCUAGCUCUUUAAUUCAUAUGAUUAACAUUUGUUUUUUUUCGUUGAUAAAACUUGACUAAAGUAUAUAUUUAACGGUUUUUUAAUAUAAGUGACUGCGUUCGUUCAAUGUUUCAGCAUGUGUCCUACCAUCCGGUUUGUAAUCGAUGCCCCAUGCAUUAAGCUUUGGAUGACAUGUCAAGUAUGAUAGUUAGACAGAAGCAGUGUCCAGGGAACCGGGAGUGUCCCACCUUGCAACUCGAAGUGAUACCUCUUGCAACCUGAACGAUGCUCCAUCAGUGGCAUUUGCAAUGCCCGAAGGCCGCACAAACCUGUCUUCCAUUAAGCACUUUUGGCCAUGGGUGACAACUUAGUGAUGACACAAAGGGUAACACCUUACUGAUGACACAAUGGCUUGAUUGCUUAAACUGGGUCAGGCCUCUUCACGGGAAACACAAUGGAAAAUGAAAUAUUCAAUACAUUGACGCUCUAUUUUUGCGCCUUGUGUUGAUAGAUAAGACUUUUACGUUUAUGUGGCAACUUUAUAUUUAUGACAUUAUAAUGGUGAUGUUGCAUUUUUAUACUGAAGUGACUUUCAUAUGUUGAUUUGACAUUAUUAAGUUUAUGUGACAUUCUAAUGUUAUUGGAAUUCUUAUUUUGAUGUAACCUUCUAAUUGCGAUGUGACAUAACAUGUAAGUUAUUGCGCGAGUACUUUAAGAUACAGGCCUCAAUUUCUCGAAACUUAUAAGUCACUUAUAACAGGAUUAAGCUGAGCUCAUUAUUUUUGUUUUCCACUAAUUUGCAUAACAUUUACUUCUUUAAGAGUUUUCAUACUUAAGAUUGGAGUUAUGAUUAUGAUUAUCACAAUGAACCUUUUUUCAUUUAUAAAAAAUCAAUUUUAGUAUGUAUUUUACUUAUUGAAAUAAGCUGCUUAAGCCUGUUAAGUUUAAGAAGUUUCGAGGAUUGGGGCCAGGUGUAAAUUGUUAUGUUGUCAUUAAACUUCAUGUUGUAUACACCCUUAUUUUUGAUAUUUUACAAUGUUUAUAUUUGAUGUUGUAUAUGAAUCAUAAAUUUGAAACCAGGCCCCAAUUUCUCGAAACUUCGUAAGUCUCUCAUAACAGGAUUAAGCUAAGCUCACUAUUUUUGUUUUCCACGAAUUUGCAUAAUAUUUACUUCUAUUAGAGUUUUUAUACUUAAGAUUGGAGUUAUGUUUAUGAUAUUAUCACAAUGAACCUUUUUUCAUUUAUAAAAAAUCAAUUUUAGUAUGUAUUUUACUUAUUGAAAUAAGCUGCUUAAGCCUGUUAAGCUAAAGAAGUUUCGAGAAAUUGGGGCCAGGUGUAAAUUGUUAUGUUGUCAUUGAACUUCUUGCUGUAUACACCCUUAUUUUUGAUAUUGUACAAUGUUUAUAUUUGAUGUUGUAUGUGAAUCAUAAAUUUGAAACCACAGGUGUAAAUUGUUAUGUUGUCAUUGAACUUCAUGUUGUAUACACCCUUAUUUUUGAUAUUGUACAAUGUUUAUAUUUGAUGUUGUAUGUGAAUCAUAAAUUUGAAACCACAGGUGUAAAUUGUUAUGUUGUCAUUGAACUUCAUGUUGUAUACACCCUUAUUUUUGAUAUUGUACAGUGUUUAUAUUUGUAUGUAAAUCAUAAAUUUGAAACCACUUUCCAUUUGUUCCUGUUUUACAUACCUUAACAUGUGUUUCUUUGUCGGCUGCAUUUCAUCUCUUAAUAACCUUUUCGCUUGGUAUUGUAUAUGUGUUGUUAUG